UACAGGUGGUUGGGUAGAGAAUACCAAGGCGCUUGAUAGAACUCGGGUGAAGGAACUAGGCAAAAUGGCACCGUAACUUCGGGAGAAGGUGCGCCGGUGAGGGUGAAGCAUUUACUGCGUAAGCCCACGCCGGUCGAAGAUACCAGGCCGCUGCGACUGUUUAUUAAAAACACAGCACUCUGCAAACACGAAAGUGGACGUAUAGGGUGUGACGCCUCCCCGGUGCCGGAAGGUUAAUUGAUGGGGUUAGCUAACGCGAAGCUCUUGAUCGAAGCCCCGGUAAACGGCGGCCGUAACUAUAACGGUCCUAAGGUAGCGAAAUUCCUUGUCGGGUAAGUUCCGACCUGCACGAAUGGCGUAACGAUGGCGGCGCUGUCUCCACCCGAGACUCAGUGAAAUUGAAAUCGCUGUGAAGAUGCAGUGUAUCCGCGGCUAGACGGAAAGACCCCGUGGACCUUUACUAUAGCUUUGCACUGGACUUUGAAUUUGCUUGUGUAGGAUAGGUGGGAGGCUUUGAAGCGUGGACGCCAGUCUGCGUGGAGCCAACCUUGAAAUACCACCCUGGCAACUUUGAGGUUCUAACUCAGGUCCGUUAUCCGGAUCGAGGACAGUGUAUGGUGGGUAGUUUGACUGGGGCGGUCUCCUCCUAAAGAGUAACGGAGGAGUACGAAGGUGCGCUCAGACCGGUCGGAAAUCGGUCGUAGAGUAUAAAGGCAAAAGCGCGCUUGACUGCGAGACAGACACGUCGAGCAGGUACGAAAGUAGGUCUUAGUGAUCCGGUGGUUCUGUAUGGAAGGGCCAUCGCUCAACGGAUAAAAGGUACUCCGGGGAUAACAGGCUGAUACCGCCCAAGAGUUCAUAUCGACGGCGGUGUUUGGCACCUCGAUGUCGGCUCAUCACAUCCUGGGGCUGAAGCCGGUCCCAAGGGUAUGGCUGUUCGCCAUUUAAAGUGGUACGCGAGCUGGGUUUAGAACGUCGUGAGACAGUUCGGUCCCUAUCUGCCGUGGACGUUUGAGAUUUGAGAGGGGCUGCUCCUAGUACGAGAGGACCGGAGUGGACGAACCUCUGGUGUUCCGGUUGUCACGCCAGUGGCAUUGCCGGGUAGCUAUGUUCGGAAUAGAUAACCGCUGAAAGCAUCUAAGCGGGAAACUAGCCUCAAGAUGAGAUCUCACUGGAACCUUGAGUUCCCUGAAGGGCCGUCGAAGACUACGACGUUGAUAGGUGGGGUGUGUAAGCGCUGUGAGGCGUUGAGCUAACCCAUACUAAUUGCCCGUGAGGCUUGACC
This 1285-nucleotide ribosomal RNA is filed under the name metagenome. RNAcentral's name for it is "bacterial LSU rRNA". It matches the Rfam family "Bacterial large subunit ribosomal RNA", at positions 1658 to 2925 of the family's 2925-position model. The record is from RNAcentral.